CACGGGGGGAGCAAGCGUUGUUCGGAAUCACUGGGAGUAAAGGGCGUGUAGGCGGUCAGGUAAGUGGAAUGUGAAAGCCCUCGGCUCACCCGAGGAUCUGCAUUCCAAACUGCCUGGCUUGAGUAUGGGAGAGGAUGAGGGAAUUCCUGGUGUAGCGGUGAAAUGCGUAGAUAUCAGGAGGAACACCGGUGGCGAAGGCGCUCAUCUGGCCCAAUACUGACGCUGAGGCGCGAAAGCUAGGGGAGCAAACGGG
RNAcentral lists this ribosomal RNA (253 nucleotides) under uncultured bacterium. RNAcentral describes it as "partial 16S ribosomal RNA". It matches the Rfam family "Bacterial small subunit ribosomal RNA", at positions 524 to 776 of the family's 1533-position model. The record is from RNAcentral.